UGUUAUUGCUCAUUUACCGGAAAUACAAGUGCAAUGCCGAAAAAAUACAAAUCCAAGCUAUUUGAAAGAUAAUCUGUUUUCAGUAAUAUGAUGGAAAAAUGCAGAGUUUGCUUGCUAAAAUACCAAAACAUGGUCAACAUUUUUAAGCAAUCUGUGGAGCGUGAGAUUUCCUUGGCUGAUAUGAUUGUGCAGUCCACCGGCUUUUCAGUUCAAAAAGGAGACCCAUUUUCCGAAUUUAUUUGUGCAUCUUCGUCCGUGGGAUCACAGUCAGCACAGUGCCAGGAGUAGCCGCGAAUCUUGGGCGACUUCUUGAGCGGCGGAUCGAGGCAGGCG
Molecule: long non-coding RNA, 333 nt
Organism: Drosophila mauritiana
Lineage: Eukaryota; Metazoa; Arthropoda; Insecta; Diptera; Drosophilidae
Exons: 3
Source: RefSeq, a predicted model, not a curated record